Molecule: ribosomal RNA, 656 nt
Filed under: Euphorbia capitellata
Lineage: Eukaryota; Viridiplantae; Streptophyta; Magnoliopsida; Malpighiales; Euphorbiaceae
Description: eukaryotic LSU rRNA
Rfam family: 5.8S ribosomal RNA (bases 273-428)
Source: RNAcentral
UCGAAACCUGCUCAGCAGAACGACCAGCGAACGUGUUCAUUCAACGAGGGGUCCAAGGCGGGCUUUUGCUUGUGUUGGCCCUUCAAAUGGCUUCUACUGAGGGAUCAGGGUGGGUAGGCUCGCUCUUUCCCCUCGACGUCCCUCGAUGGCGGCCAGCUAACAAACCCCCGGCGCGGAAUGCGCCAAGGAAUUGCAAAUGAAAAGAUCGGCCACCCGCGUUGCCCCGGAAACGGUGUGUAAUAAGGGUUGUGUCGUGACUUGAGAAUCUGAACGACUCUCGGCAACGGAUAUCUCGGCUCUCGCAUCGAUGAAGAACGCAGCGAAAUGCGAUACUUGGUGUGAAUUGCAGGAUCCCGCGAACCAUCGAGUUUUUGAACGCAAGUUGCGCCCGAAGCCUUCUGGCCGAGGGCACGUCUGCCUGGGUGUCACUCAACCGUCGCCCCAACCUCCUCCUCCUUCUGGAAGGAGUGUGAACCGGGCGGAAGAUGGCCUCCCGUUUGCUUCUUGCACGCGGCUGGCCCAAAUGUCCGGUCCUCGGCAUCGUCGCCACGGCAAUCGGUGGUUGCAUGACCCUCGCUUAAUGCCGUGAGUGAUUUGUUGCCGGUGUGAUCCGUUAGGCCCCUGAGUGUUUCGGAAGACACGCUCGCAACGCGACC